AAGCUGGAGCUUGCUCUAGUGGAUUAGUGGCGAACGGGUGAGUAACACGUGAGCAAUCUGCCCUUGACUCUGGGAUAACUGCGGGAAACUGUAGCUAAUACCGGAUACGACACCUUGGGGCAUCCCGAGGUGUGGAAAGAAUUUCGGUCAAGGAUGAGCUCGCGGCCUAUCAGCUUGUUGGUGAGGUAAAAGCUCACCAAGGCGACGACGGGUAGCCGGCCUGAGAGGGUGACCGGCCACACUGGAACUGAGAUACGGUCCAGACUCC
RNAcentral lists this ribosomal RNA (268 nucleotides) under unidentified marine bacterioplankton. Its description in RNAcentral is "partial 16S ribosomal RNA". It matches the Rfam family "Bacterial small subunit ribosomal RNA", at positions 70 to 339 of the family's 1533-position model. The record is from RNAcentral. RNAcentral also lists the same sequence under 1 other name.